RNAcentral lists this ribosomal RNA (449 nucleotides) under Orithyia sinica. RNAcentral describes it as "partial 12S small subunit ribosomal RNA". Lineage: Eukaryota; Metazoa; Arthropoda; Malacostraca; Decapoda; Orithyiidae. The record is from RNAcentral.
AAAGGUGAAAUUAAAUUGUAAUUUUUGAAGUUUUAACUUUAAUGGAAGCUAAUAAGUUUUAGGUUUAAACUAGGAUUAGAUACCCUAUUAUACUAAAAUUAAAUUAUUAUAGGACUUGAUUAUUAAUAGUUAUGAACUAAAAAUUUAAAGAAUUUGGCGGUAAUUUAGUCUUGUCAGAGGAACCUGUUUAUUAAUCGAUAAGCCACGAAGAAUCUUACUUAAUUUGUAUACCAUCAUUAGCAGAUAAUUUUUAAAGAAUAAUAAUUAUUGUAACUAUAAGAGUAGAAAAAUUAGAUCAAGGUGCAGUUUAUAAAUAAGUUUAAAUGGGUUACAAUAAAUUUUAUUUAUACGGAGUAUAUAUUAGGAAAGGAGGAUUUUGAUUGUAUUAAUUUUUAAUAAGGUUAAAAAGAUAUAAGCUCUAAAUUAUGUACAUAUCGCCCGUCGCUUUC